This 265-nucleotide ribosomal RNA is filed under the name Diversispora epigaea. Lineage: Eukaryota; Fungi; Glomeromycota; Glomeromycetes; Diversisporales; Diversisporaceae. The record is from RNAcentral.
CAGUCGCGUUGGCUUGGAAUCAGCCUUGCUUUUGCUUGGUGUACUUCCUUGUUAACGGGUCAGCAUCAAUCUUGACCGGUGGAAAAAGGCCAGAUGAAUGUGGCAUCUUCGGAUGUGUUAUAGCUUCUGGUCGUAUACAUCGGUUGGGAUUGAGGAACUCAGCACGCCGCAAGGUCGGGGGUUCGCCCACGUUCGUGCCUUAGGAUGCUGGCAAAAUGGCUUUAACGACCGUCUUGAAACACGGACCAAGGAGUCUAACAUAUGU